UGGGGAAUAUUGGACAAUGGGCGCAAGCCUGAUCCAGCCAUGCCGCGUGAGUGAUGAAGGCCCUAGGGUUGUAAAGCUCUUUCACCGGUGAAGAUAAUGACGGUAACCGGAGAAGAAGCCCCGGCUAACUUCGUGCCAGCAGCCGCGGUAAUACGAAGGGGGCUAGCGUUGUUCGGAUUUACUGGGCGUAAAGCGCACGUAGGCGGACUAUUAAGUCAGGGGUGAAAUCCCGGGGCUCAACCCCGGAACUGCCUUUGAUACUGGUAGUCUUGAGUUCGAGAGAGGUGAGUGGAAUUCCGAGUGUAGAGGUGAAAAUCGUAGAUAUUCGGAGGAACACCAGUGGCGAAGGCGGCUCACUGGCUCGAUACUGACGCUGAGGUGCGAAAGCGUGGGGAGCAAACAGG
Molecule: ribosomal RNA, 404 nt
Filed under: Actinomycetes bacterium
Lineage: Bacteria; Bacillati; Actinomycetota; Actinomycetes
Description: Actinobacteria bacterium partial 16S ribosomal RNA
Rfam family: Bacterial small subunit ribosomal RNA
Source: RNAcentral